GGAAUCUUCCACAAUGGGCGCAAGCCUGAUGGAGCAACACCGCGUGAGUGAAGAAGGGUUUCGGCUCGUAAAGCUCUGUUGUUAAAGAAGAACACGUAUGAGAGUAACUGUUCAUACGUUGACGGUAUUUAACCAGAAAGUCACGGCUAACUACGUCCAG
Molecule: ribosomal RNA, 160 nt
Filed under: uncultured bacterium
Lineage: Bacteria
Description: partial 16S ribosomal RNA
Rfam family: Bacterial small subunit ribosomal RNA
Source: RNAcentral